GUCCGCAAGGACAAUUUGACAAUUUGACCUCAAAUCAGGUACGAAUGGAACCCCCAUGU
RNAcentral lists this ribosomal RNA (59 nucleotides) under Pleurotus eryngii. RNAcentral's name for it is "partial 28S ribosomal RNA". The record is from RNAcentral. Lineage: Eukaryota; Fungi; Basidiomycota; Agaricomycetes; Agaricales; Pleurotaceae.